AUCCAAUGAUGAGGACACUUACGAAGUAACUCUUUUUGAAUCACUCCCAAGCCUCAUACAAAGACUCGUCAUCCAAUUGUUGGAAAGUUGUGAUCUCAUUCCUCAACUU
Non-coding RNA from Gossypium raimondii (Peruvian cotton), 109 nucleotides. The record is from Rfam. Lineage: Eukaryota; Viridiplantae; Streptophyta; Magnoliopsida; Malvales; Malvaceae.